Molecule: long non-coding RNA, 1077 nt
Filed under: Physeter macrocephalus (sperm whale)
Lineage: Eukaryota; Metazoa; Chordata; Mammalia; Artiodactyla; Physeteridae
Description: Physeter catodon (sperm whale) lncRNA (ENSPCTG00005014022.1)
Source: RNAcentral
CCGCGCGGCUUGGCGGGCUAGGAGGCGGGCCAGGCCGGGUUCCUGCCGCACUCCAGGGGGCGUCGCCUCCCUUCCUGCCGCCCGCCCGCCUGCGGGGCCGAUCCUCUGCGCCUGCGUGGCAGGGCCGGCACCCGGCCCACUGUUCUCCGGCGCUGGGCGGCUAGGGGACAGGGCCUGCCCGGAGCGCCCACGCCCGGGAGUGCCCCGAGGGCGGCGCGGCCCCACCUCUGCACAUUCCGAGGGCCGGGGGCUGGCAGCUUCUCGGUUUCCUCAUCUGGGAAAUGGGGUAACACUGUCUAGUCUGUAAAAUGGGUCUCUCCGGCGGACUAGGGGCCAUCUCGCAGGGAAGUCGUGAGCGUGCAAAGACUCUUUGCUAUCUUCAAACGGCUGUGCAGAUCCACACAAUUAGGCUCUUAACCGGACCAUGACCGUCACCACCUACCGCAGUCUCGGGCCCCUUCCCCUAAACCCGGAGUUGCAGGGCGCGGAAAUUCCAGCUGUCUGCCCCGGGAUGCCCCCUGCCGACCUCUCCCAACCGCCUCACCUGGCGCCCGGCCACGUCCACUCCAGCCACCUGGCUCUCUCGCCAGAAGCCAAGCGCCUCCACGCCUCAGGGCCUUUGUACAUGCUGUUCUCUCGGCCUGGAAUGCGCUUCCUCCGACUUCUCACAGCCAAAUCCCACCGACCUCGAGGAGAUGACACCCCCUCCAAGAGGCUUUUCUAGGCCCCUCCUCUACUCCCCACGCCAGCCACGAUGUGACUGUUGGACAGGGGGUAAAGUCAAGCGGCGGCCACACACAGUGGGGGCCCCCAUCUCUGCGGGCUCAAUGCCCAACCGUGGGGACCACAACGUCAACUGGAGGACCUUGAACACCCGCUCCACCUGGGUCUGUGCAGACACACCGACGGGCGCGGGGCCCGCGUUUCCCACGCAGAUUCUUCACGAGGGAAACUCCCGUGUGGUGCGCGGUUUGCGCCCCAGGACGGAUAAAGUCAUGGGGACUGUGAGUCGAGAAACACUAGGACUCAGCCGGGGUCGGUCUGGCAACUAUGGACAAGUGUCUUGUUCAUCCAGCA